RNAcentral lists this unclassified non-coding RNA (379 nucleotides) under uncultured Pseudomonadota bacterium. RNAcentral describes it as "uncultured proteobacterium contains 16S-23S intergenic spacer region". Lineage: Bacteria; Pseudomonadati; Pseudomonadota. The record is from RNAcentral.
UCCCCGUUAUCCGGGGCGGUUUCGCUAGAGUGCCCGACUUGGCUCGCUGGCAACUAACGAUAAGGGUUGCGCUCGUUGCGGGACUUAACCCAACAUCUCACGACACGAGCUGACGACAGCCAUGCAGCACCUUCUCACUCGCUCUCCGAAGAACACCCCUACAUCUCUGCAAGGUUCGAGUGGAUUUAACCCAGGUAAGGUUCUGCGCGUUGCGUCGAAUUGAACCACAUGCUCCACCGCUUGUGCAGGCCCCCGUCAAUUUCUUUGAGUUUUAACCUUGCGGCCGUACUCCCCAGGCGGAUGACUUAACGCGUUAGCUGCGCCACCGAAACGCUAAGCGCCCCGACAGCUAGUCAUCAUCGUUUACGGCGUGGACUAC